GGGGAGAGUCUCCUGAUUUUUUUUAGGCAUAAAGAUCUGAUAAGGUCUAUAUUAGGGUUAGAGGAAUAUGGGGGUUUUAAUGAGGGGAUUUGGGUUAAGGGAACUGGGCCGAAGGGAAUUGGGUUAUGGGAAUUGGGUUAUGCGAAUUGGGCUGAGGUUUAAAAUUAAUUUGGUCAUUUUAGGAAUUAGCCCAAUUUUAAAAGAAAUCAGACCAAAAUCUAAAAAUUAAAAGGUAAAAAAUGUAAAAUGAGCCAUUUUUGUGAUUUUCAUUUUUAAUAAAGCAAUUAAUUAACUAAUUAAUUCUAAAAUAUAAAAACAAAAAUCUAAAUGUAAUGUAUGGUAUUUUUGAUAUUUUUAUGCUUUUUUUAACAAAAAUUAAACGUGCACAAAAAUGUAAAUAAUUAAUAAAAUCCUACAAAAAAUCCUAUAAAAUGGCAAAUAAUCGGAAAAAUGUAUUUUAUUUUAUUUUAUAGAAGUAUUUCAUAUAGGGCAAAAAUCACGUGCUCACAGCUGCCCCUCUCUGCUCGAAAACACGAAGGAUUUUCGGGCCAAGAUAAAGUGAGGGGAUACAAGCGAUUUUUGCCCAUUUGAAUACUCCGUGGGAAGCAUUUUUGAAAGAUCUGACCGAACCUUGCUUCCGAGGUUGCCUACAUAUCCUUGACUAUAAAGGAAUCAGGUUAGUGUAGUUCGGGAAGUUUUGAUAGCUGGGACUACCGAAAAACUAUGAUUUCACUGUUGUUACUCCUGUUUCCGCUUGCUGAGCUCCUUAUUACACCAAAAUUUAAAAUAAAAAGAUAAACUAGCUAAACCUAUCAACUAUGAGUUACAAGAUUCCUAUAUAUAACCUUCUAAGGCUUGAUUUUGAGUCCUGGUUGGUUCUUCCUGCAGACUCUGAUCUGAAUCUUGAUGCUCGUAAGCUGCAACCGCUGGUUCAUUCUUCUUUAGCUUUUUGGAUCAAGGGGGGACAUGCAAAGCUUGCGACUUCAAUCAUAUCUUGAGCAGUCCGCAUCUUUCCUCCGCUUCUACACUUAGAGUUCAACUUCUUUUCUUUUAUUUGGGUUGAGACUUCUUCUUUUGGUCAUCUCAAACCGUGUGCCUCACGGUGAAAACUUGUUCAGGCAACAAAGCAAACAAACGAACAAAGUUUUUCUGCCCCAGUUUUCACUAGGAAAAUUUCGUGAAUUAUUGUAACAAAAUCUAAACUAUUUCUUUAUUGAAGGCAAUUAAAAUCGGGAUUAUGUAUCCCUGAGAGAAAGAGAUUAGGGAGUGGAGACCCUAUAUCUAAAAUGAAAUUAAAUGAGGAUCGGAGGUCCCAAGUUGGGAAGAUUACCGGGUUAUGCUGGAAAAAUGACCACGUUAUGUCGGGAAGGUCCUCAGGUUAUGCCGGGGAAGGUCAUCAGGUUAUGCCGGAAAAGAAAAGGGUCCUCGAGUUAUGCCGGGGAGGUCCACGGGUUAUGCCGGAGUAGGUCAUUGGGUUAUGCUGGAAAAGAAAAAGGUUCUCGGAUUACGCCGGGGAGGUCCACGGGUUAUGCCGGGAAAGUCAUCGGGUUAUGCCGGAAAGAAAAAAUGUCCUCGGGUUAUGCCGGGGAGGUCCACGGGUUAUGCCAGGAGGUCCUUGGGCUAUGCCGGGAAAGAAAAAAGGUCCUUGGGUUAUGCCGGGGAGGUCCACAGGUUAUGCCGGGAAAGGUCCUCGGGUUAUAAAGGUCCUCGGGUUAUGCCAGGAAAGUUAUCACGUU
Molecule: long non-coding RNA, 1736 nt
Filed under: Nicotiana tabacum (common tobacco)
Lineage: Eukaryota; Viridiplantae; Streptophyta; Magnoliopsida; Solanales; Solanaceae
Description: long non-coding RNA (NTAB_LNC001507)
Source: RNAcentral